Serinus canaria (Common canary) is the source of this 6249-nucleotide long non-coding RNA. RefSeq lists it as uncharacterized. NCBI's taxonomy places the organism in Eukaryota, Metazoa, Chordata, Aves, Passeriformes, Fringillidae. The record is from RefSeq and is a predicted model, not a curated record. The transcript has 4 exons.
GACCUUAAUGGAAACAGGAAACAUUAGUUGUUUUAGAAAAUAGAGGCUUUCAUUCUUAAGGAAUUGAAAUAUGCAUACUUUGUGCCAGUGGAUGUUUGGGAUUUGUUUCCUUCAUGUAUUGUUUCUGUUUGUCCUCAUUCAAUUACCUAAGAAUUUUUAUGUUGGGAUACUGCUUCCUAACAAGGCUGGAAACUAUGGUCAGUUGUGAGGCUGAGUUACUUCUUUUUGCUGAAGUUAUCACUGUUUCUUAUAUCUUUUAGACACAAAAAAUCUCUCUCCAGUCUUUUGGAGACAGCAUAAAUCUGGCACCUUCUUUUGUCUUCUCACCUUCUUCUCGUGUCUGACACAGCAAACUGCUGUAUUUCAGCUUCUCCAAGCACUCAGAACUCAGGGCCCCUUUGGAGGGACCACAGGAACAUUCCUUUGGCCUAAUAAGGCUGAUGCUGCUCUUUCCCUAAGAUGCAAAACCUCUUUUUCUUCCUCUGAUACACACAAGAUGCAGUGGAUUCCCUGUGCAUGCAGCGAAUGUGCAGAAGUGGACAGUGCAGGAAUUCUACCUGUUCAUUAGGAGCUGCCAGGCUGCUUGCACAACAGCCUCUGCUAGUUUAGGAAUGAGACAGGAGGCGUGGGAAAGGAGCCUACAGACGUCUCAGGGAUGCACCAAACUACAGGGCAACCAAGUCUUUGUUUGUUUAUUCAAAUAAUUGACUCACUUCCAGCUUUCCUAAUAACUGGAAUAUAUUUUAAUGGUAACCUGUAUUGUAAGUAAUGAGCCGGAGUAAUGCAUUGUGUGGGCUCUCAUAGGUUUUCCAUAUAGGCAAUAUUCCUGAGAAUAAUUUCCAUUUGUUCAAUCUUUACAAAUAUUGAAAUAUGGAAAGCAGAGAUGAAAACAAUGUAUUGAACCACUCCUAAAAUGACAUUAAAUGGACUUUAGGAACAUCUCUUAAAAAAUACCAGAGUCGAGAGAAAAGCCCUUUCAUCUUUUGUCAAAAUACCCUUCACAUUUCUGUAUAUUCUGGCGAAAUCCCUGUGCUUGUUUCUGUACCUUCAGUUGGUAAUUGUUUGUUAACCAGACAUGUCUCUUGACAGUUCUGUUAAAACAAGCCUCUCUGCAGUGAAUACUGAAAAGCCACGAUCAAUAAACUAGUAUAUAAUGAUUACAAGUAAUGCGUCUCACUCAGCAUGUAGGGCAAAAAAGAAAAAAAUAAAAGACUCCUGUCUAAUUAUAUUUGAAGUAGACUUGUCUAAAAUUAAGGGAGCACUUGUCCCACAAGGACUGCAGCCAAUUCCACUGAAUCAAUGGAACCUGGGCAGGACUGCCAGCUUUCCUCAUUGAAAUUCCUCCUUCAAGCAUACUUUUGGCAUUAAGCCAUUAGAAAAAGAUGACUGUUACCUAAAAAGAAAAAUGAAGACCAGGCACCACCUGAUAUCUGACAGCUCCUUCUUGUUUUGAGUCUGAACUGUGCUGUUAGUGCAGCUUAGGCCCUGGAUUUGCUCCUCACAGAAGCAUGAUCAACUUUCAGUAAGAAACCUCUCAGGGCAGCUACAGUGGUUAUAGACAUGGUCACAUUUCCUUCUUUUGCUCCCUGACCACAGCUCACUUUUUUUUUUCUUCUUUUUUUUUUUCUUUUUAUUUUUUUUUGGAGGGGGGGUGGUAUUACUCAUCUCAUUGUGAAUUCCUCAGUUUUCCUUCUUAAUCUAAUCCUGCAGAGCACUGUGAUGUUCACUUGUACUCAGUAUGAUAUUUAAUCUCUACCAUUUUUUCCUGUGAGAGAGAUUAGUAAAAUAUAUUCAAACCAACAAACUUCAUUUUUCUCAAGACUUAUUAGCCCUCUAUAACAAGACAGAUAGAUCCAGCUUCUUGAAACACCUGUCCUUCUUUUCUUUAAAAAUAUUAUGUCCAUGACAGCCUGAUUCCACUACACAUGCUCCUUUUUGUUUUACCUAAAAUAGUCCUUUUGAUCUGUUUACAGUCCUUUUUUCUUUUUUUUUUUUUUUUUUCUUUCUCCAGUGACUUCUAAGUAUCCAAACACAUUUCAUAGAAUCAUGUAAUGGUUUGGGUUGGAAUAGACCUUAAAGAUCAUCUAGUUCCAACCCCUCUACUGUGGGCAGGAGCACCCUCCACUAGAACUGGUUGCUCAGAGCUGGCCUUGAACACUUCCAGGGAUGGGGCAUCCACAACUUUUCUGAGCAACCUCUCCCAGUGCCUCACUGUAAAGAAUUUCUGUCUAAUAGAUAAUCUAAACCUAUCCCCUUUCAGUUUAAAGCCACUCCCCAUUAUCCUGUCACUAUAUACUGGUCAAAUGUCCCUCUCCAGCCUUCUUUUAGCCCUCCCUGAGGUACUGGAAGGCAGCUCUCUCAGCCUGUCCUCACAGGAGAGGUACUCCAGCCCUCCAGCCAUGUUUAUGACCCACCUCUGGACUGGCUUCAACAGGUCUAAAUUCACCCUCAGUGCAUGAUGAAAAACAGCCCUUUAUGUUGCAAACCUUUCAGCAUAUAAUGUUCAUCAUAAUACAUUUCAUGAUAUCCUUGGGUGCUGUUAUAAAUGCAUAAUUUAGACAAGACUUGGGUUUGUUGCAGUUCUGCAGCUGCUGAGGAGCAGACUGAAUUGCCCCUGAAGCAGGAAAACUGGACAGUGCAGAAGUGGUGGGGAGAGGCUCUUUCAACCAUCUCAGUGAGAGGUUUGCCUUCCCACUUGGGCUUGGAGGGCUGUGCUCAGAUUGAGUGGAGAACUCUGGAAUGAAGAUUUACAGCUCCAGCCUCAAACCUCCAAGGGUUCUCAUCAGGGGAUUAAUUCCUCCUUCUCAUCUUCAUCAGGAGCAUGCACUUGAGCCUCUGCGUGGGAAAUGGACACGUCUUCUCCAUGUGGCAGAAACACCCAGCCAUUUAAUACACCCAUCAGCUAAUGGAUGGACAGUAUCCCAGCCAGUUGUACCUAGGUACAGAAUGCAGAUUUAUUAUCCCCAGUUGCAAGCACUAUCAGGAGCACAAGGAAUUACUGGAUAUAUUUUAUAAUAGAAUAAAGAGAUUGUAAGGGAAAUGGAGCCUCAAGGGAAAAAGUUCAGACAUCCUGAAGACAACAAGCAGAGGUACUUAGGAGGAUGCAUAUUGUGCUUAAACACAAGUCCAUCAGAGGCAGCUGAGUCCCAUGUCACAGAAUAAGAUCAUGUCUUGGUGUCAUUCUAUGAGAGCUAUGAAGAUUCACUUGAAGAUCCAUUGUGAAGGCUGGAAGUCAUGUUGUCAAAGGACUUGUCCUGAGAAGAAAGACACAGGAUGAAUUCUAGCCCGGUGCCGUGCAGGUGAACCUUGUCGUCUGGAGGGGAGUCAUAUUGCAGGACUCCAGCACCAGGCCCAAGUAGGGCCCUCUUUGGCCCCUUGCUGGCACACAUGGGCACCUCCUAAGGCUCUUGUCUUGCCCUUGUCUUUUUCCUCACCUGCUCUCCAUGGCCCUUCACUCUGGGCAGGGUUAUGGUGGUUGCUGAUUGCUGCUGGUCAUUUCAGACAGACUUUUUAGCUCCCUCAAUGUUUCUGACCCUGCCCCAUCCUGGACAUGGCUAUAAAUUAUGUUCCUUCUUCACAUCUUGCCCCAGCUUUGGUUCUAUUUUCUGUCCCUCUCCCUCAGUCUCCAAAGUGUUUGAUAUAUGUUUUUCAUUUACUUGGUGUGGGUAUGCAAUGGGCACAGGAGCUAAUUAGUGACUGAUGGGUUUUAAAUUUAAUCUCAUGGUGCAGCCAUGCCUUGAAUGUAAAUAAUGCAUGUGCUUUUGGGUCAACAUGUGGGGUCCUAUUGAAAUAAUUCCAAUAUAUGUCCAGAUGGGACUUGUCCAGGCUUGUCUAGCCUCUGCUGCUUGACCGAAAGGCGGCACUGCGGUGUUUCCACCUCAGACACCUCUGGCUGGUGGAUGCUGCAGCUGGCCUGGAGACAAGUCCAGACAUGCAAAGUCCCAGUGUUACCUCUGUGCAGAUGCUUUAAGGCGAGGUGAAGGAAAGGAGUGGAUUCUACCAGAGUUUCAAUCCAGAGUUUAUUCAGAUGGCAGGCUUCUGAAUCCCAUAACAGCUCUAACAGAAUCCCAAACCACGUGGUUGUUGGGUCUUUUAAGCCCAGGGAGAGGGGGAGGGAAGGAGUAGGGAUCUCACCAACCAGGUGCAGGGUGGGCAGGUCUCAGGUGCAAGGGACACCUGGGUGGGCCAAUGGCCCCCCCCAGGGAUGGAGGGCAUCUUUUGAACACUGCAAAUCACUCAACGCCCUUCUGGAAUGCCAAGGUUGAUAGACAGCAUCCAGCAUGCAUCAGGGUGGGGGAGAAGGUGAUUGACACCUGGGAAAGGACAGGGAUACCUGAGACAAACUAUGACAUCACACUGCUACAGGUACCUUUGAGAGCCCUUCAGAGGAGACCAACCUGCUGCUCAGGACAGGUGAGAUCUCUGCAAAAAACCUCUGAAAUACUCAGAAGACUUGAUGUUUGCUACUCACGCACUGCUUUGGAAACUUCCCUCAGUGCUCAACUACUUGCCGCCGAAGAAGUGCAUGAAAACGUGAAAAGUGAAAAAUUCCCUGUGAAUCUUUAGAAAGGGAUCUAUGGGCAAAUUUGGAGGAGUUGGUCAAGCUUUUAGAUAACCUCCAUUUCUGACCCCCCUCUGCCUCUAUUUACUAAAAUAAAUUGAGUUUGAACAAAGGGAGUAAAAUCAAGGAAAAGAUGCUUCUAAAGUGAAACUCUUAACAAUAAAUAAAAUGAGAAAACAAAUCAGAGUAAAGUAAGUGCAUCAAGAUGAUCCCAAUAAUCUCAACACAAAACCAGUUAAUCCUUAUAAGCAUUGAGAGAGGCUCUUCAGGAAGCAGCUGUCCCUUUGGUUACAAACACACUAGAGUCAAUUUAGCAUGGAAACUGGAGCUGCUUAAAUAGUUUACUUUUGAGACAUUACUAUCUGAUGUUCACAUCACAGAGCCCGUUAUAAAGCUCCCGUCUUAGAUUUCCCUUCUCACAUAGAAGGUAACCCUUUCCUCCCCUCUGCUAGCAGAUUCCAACAGAUGACAGAUUUCAACAGAACAACUCUAAUAAACAGAUUUUUGACAGGUCAUAUUAGCCAGAAACUAUCUGGGGCAACGGCAAGGGCUCCUUUAGCACAAAAUAAUUUUUCUUUAUGUGCCAACAUUUAAAUCUAAAAUAUUUUCUUCAGAGUUCAGAUUUUAGGGACAGACGCAUGCAUGCACACAGCAAUGCUUUCAUGGCAUAGAGUGAAGUCUAAGAAAGUCCAGAAAUUUCCCAGACAUCGAACACAACCAGCAAACAUUGAUAAAGAAGCCACUUCCCAUAGGACUGGGCCUGGAGCUGCAGUCAUGGACACAGCAGAUGUCCUCUUGGCUCAGUGCUUCUCCUGCACAGACCUUGUUUGGGUGCUGGCUGGGAAGCAGGAGGCAGGGACAACAUAAUCAGCAGAGUUUUGACAAUGUCUCUUUAAAAUAACUGUAUUUGGGGGGCUGGAGGGCCAGUCUUCUCUCAACAGGUUCAUUGACCUUAAAGGUGAGAUAUCCCAGACUGAUCCUUCGUGUUUGUGAGCUUUGCUUACUUGGCCUGGGGACACCUCCCUCCCCCAGCUGCAAGCAAAUCUGCUGCAAGGACUGAUUUGGAGCUACCCCAGAUUUGAAUUUAGCAAGUGGCAGGUUUGGGAAAAGUCCCAUUUAUGUCCACAGAAUAAAAAGCAUUUGGUGCCUUAUAGAGCAGACACUGUACGUCUGCACACGUUUCCCUUCCCUAAGCCUUCGUUUCCCUCCCUCUCCCCUGUUUUGUAAGUAAAACAAAUUAACAUGCAAGAUGUUUCCUGAAGAUUUUGGCAUAGUCUUAUCUGGAUAAAAGGUCUCAUGAUGACUCUGUUGCCAACUUAUAGAAAUUUCAACACAAAACUAUUCUAUAAAAAUAGCUGCUUGCCAUGGUUUGUUUGUUUUCAUCCCAACCACUGCUUGACAUUCCCUCAUCUGCAAAAAUAAAUGUGUACAAUUUAUUACUUCUGGCAUCAUUCUUCUCCUAAAGAAGGCAACUUACAGUCAGCGUUCUAUUUUGGAAAUAAGCUAGAAGUCAAGCAGUUUGUCUCUUGUACACUUUGAGAGUAGCAAAACUUGCUAGUUAUUUCUUUGCUGACUUAGCCUCUGAGCAGUGCUGGGCAUGCUGCCUGAAGCUUCCACAGCUGAUCCCAAAACCUCUUGUACCCCACCAAGAACAGUACUUGCAGUAGCCCUUUGCAGAAGGAGUGGCC